This 364-nucleotide unclassified non-coding RNA is filed under the name uncultured bacterium. RNAcentral describes it as "contains 16S-23S intergenic spacer region". The record is from RNAcentral.
UCCCGGUUGGCCCGGGCAGUCUCGUGUGAAAAAUACAACACACGAUAAGGGUUGCGCUCGUUGCGGGACUUAACCCAACAUCUCACGACACGAGCUGACGACGGCCAUGCAAUACCUGUCACUGGGUUCCCGAAGGCACAUCACUGUUUCCAGCGACUUCCCAGGAUGUCAAGUCUAGGUAAGGUUCUUCGCGUAGCAUCGAAUUAAACCACAUGCUCCACUGCUUGUGCCGAGCCCCGUCAAUUCCUUUGAGUUUUAAUCUUGCGAUCGUACUCCCCAGGCGGCACACUUAACGCGUUAGCUUCCCAGCACAGAGGGUCGAUACUCCAUACUAGUAGUGUGCAUCGUUUACGGCGUGGACUAC